ACAAGAAGGAGAGAUCGCGUGAGGCUCGAAGCCACCGCUACUCCACUCGGGCAGCGAUUGCGCCGUACAAAUGCUGGAAGCGUCUGGAGGGUAUGCGCGGGGGAGCCGGGUGGGGCAAGGCUAUAAAAAGACGCAGGUGAGGGGCGGAGGCCAGUCGGCUCCGAUCUGUCAAACGAUUCGUGUACAGUACUCCGCCGGCUGUGCGUUCAGCUUCACUAUACAGUAUACGCUCGAUCGCAUCAGUUCGUCAUCAUAUACUUGGCGCGUAGCUGUCGAGGAUGAUGUGGCUGGUCGGUUAAACUAGUACCAGUGCGUGAUCCUGCACGUGGUUUCACACCUGAUCGACCAAAGAGAUAGAU
This is a long non-coding RNA of Trachymyrmex septentrionalis, 359 nucleotides long. RefSeq lists it as uncharacterized. The transcript is spliced from 3 exons. The record is from RefSeq and is a predicted model, not a curated record. Lineage: Eukaryota; Metazoa; Arthropoda; Insecta; Hymenoptera; Formicidae.